UGGGGAAUUUUGCACAAUGGGGGAAACCCUGAUGCAGCGACGCCGCGUGAUUUAGAAGGCCUUCGGGUUGUAAAAAUCUUUUGUAUGGGAAGAAAAUGACAGUACCAUACGAAUAAGGACCGGCUAAUUACGUGCCAGCAGCCGCGGUAAUACGUAAGGUCCGAGCGUUGUCCGGAAUCAUUGGGCGUAAAGGGUACGUAGGCGGAUAAGCAAGUUAGAAGUGAAAUCCUAUAGCUCAACUAUAGUAAGCUUUUAAAACUGCUCAUCUUGAGGUAUGGAAGGGAAAGUGGAAUACCUAGUGUAGCGGUGAAAUGCGCAGAUAUUAGGAGGAAUACCGGUGGCGAAGACGACUUUCUGGCCAUAUACUGACGCUGAGGUACGAAAGCGUGGGUAGCAAACAGG
This 402-nucleotide ribosomal RNA is filed under the name Verrucomicrobiota bacterium. Its description in RNAcentral is "Verrucomicrobia bacterium partial 16S ribosomal RNA". It matches the Rfam family "Bacterial small subunit ribosomal RNA", at positions 355 to 776 of the family's 1533-position model. Lineage: Bacteria; Pseudomonadati; Verrucomicrobiota. The record is from RNAcentral.